Molecule: small nucleolar RNA, 104 nt
Organism: Hyaena hyaena (striped hyena)
Lineage: Eukaryota; Metazoa; Chordata; Mammalia; Carnivora; Hyaenidae
Product: small nucleolar RNA U13
Exons: 1
Source: RefSeq, a predicted model, not a curated record
AUUCUUUUACAGUUCAUAAACGUGCAUACUGGGUGUUCACACUGUUAUGUGACAUAUGCCUCCUUCAAACCUUGUUAUGACCUCAGCACAUUACCCAUCUGAUG